UAAUUCUCAACCAAUUGGGCCCGUGUGGCCCGCGUUUGGCUUGGACUUGGGAGCUGCUGGCGUCGCAAGACGUCGGCUCUCCUCAAACGCAUUAGCGGACCCAGCGGUGCCACGGCCUCGUUCGACGUGAUAACGAUCGUCGUCGGGCUGGAGCCAGAUCUGCUUCUAACCCGGUCCGCUCAGCUACUAGCCCCUCCGGGGGCGAACGCGAGCGGCCUCCCCUCC
This 225-nucleotide unclassified non-coding RNA is filed under the name uncultured Strobilomyces. RNAcentral describes it as "sequence contains ITS2". The record is from RNAcentral. Lineage: Eukaryota; Fungi; Basidiomycota; Agaricomycetes; Boletales; Boletaceae.